Molecule: transfer RNA, 63 nt
Filed under: Chelus fimbriata (Mata Mata)
Lineage: Eukaryota; Metazoa; Chordata; Testudines; Chelidae
Description: tRNA-Ser
Source: RNAcentral
CGAGGUAGUAUUUAUAGGGAUUGCUAAUCCUUAUCUCCGAGAAUAACCUCCUCGGCUCCCCCA